UGGGGAAUAUUGCACAAUGGGGGAAACCCUGAUGCAGCGACGCCGCGUGAGUGAAGAAGUAUUUCGGUAUGUAAAGCUCUAUCAGCAGGGAAGAAAAUGACGGUACCUGAGUAAGAAGCCCCGGCUAACUACGUGCCAGCAGCCGCGGUAAUACGUAGGGGGCAAGCGUUAUCCGGAUUUACUGGGUGUAAAGGGAGCGCAGACGGCUCUGCAAGUCUGAAGUGAAAGCCCGCGGCUUAACCGCGGGACUGCUUUGGAAACUGCAAGGCUUGAGUAUCGGAGGGGCAGGCGGAAUUCCUAGUGUAGCGGUGAAAUGCGUAGAUAUUAGGAAGAACACCGGUGGCGAAGGCGGCCUGCUGGACGAAAACUGACGUUGAGGCUCGAAGGCGUGGGGAGCAAACAGGAUUAGAUACCCUGGUAGUCCACGCGGUAAGCGAUGAAUACUAGGUGUUGGUGCCCGAAGGGCAUCGGUGCCGUCGCAAACGCAAUAAGUAUUCCACCUGGGGAGUACGUUCGCAAGAAUG
RNAcentral lists this ribosomal RNA (524 nucleotides) under uncultured bacterium. Its description in RNAcentral is "bacterial SSU rRNA". It matches the Rfam family "Bacterial small subunit ribosomal RNA", at positions 355 to 896 of the family's 1533-position model. The record is from RNAcentral.